ACCCAGCCUCUCUGACUUUUCCUACCGGCAUCGAAUUUUCCUGGGCAGAAAGGAAGGAAUGUGAGAUGAAAGAUACGGGUUGUAUAGACCUCAUUGUCCUCAGGAUUAGAGUCCAGAUUCCAAUCAUAAUUUGCAAGUCUCUUCAAGACCCGGCCGCUGCUAAACGAGACGUCGGUCAGAGGGUACAAACUUGCAUUUAUGAGUCCUUUUCUAUGGCUCAAGUUCAGGAGUCCAGCCUGUCCCCCUAGUCACAUCAGAGACAAAGAGAGGGAGAAAGAGAAUGAAGACAUUGUCUGGAUGCUCGGAUACUUCUGGAAAAGUCAGCUCUGGCACGGGCUGAGGCGUAACUCCAGGGUUCGGAAAGCCCUGCGGUUAAUUUAGCCCAAAUUCUGAGCUGAGUGUGCCUAGCGACUCCCCAAAGAUGACCAUGGCAUCAGAAUCUUUCUAACCCUAGCCUUGGGCAAACACCACCACCAAAGAGUGGCCAGAGCCGAGCUUUGGCUGGACAUGGAACAGAACUGGGAAGAAAACGAGUACAUCGGGGUAGAUAACAAGUUGUUCACAGUGAGCAAGGCCCCAGUGGCCUCCUUAUAAAUCUCAGUCCUGAGAAAGUGUGGUUAGAGCUGAAAGCCCCGACAUGUCACGCGCUGCUAUUCCCGUGGAAAUACCAACCAGACAGCGCACGCACCCGGAGACGGGACGAGGCCAACACACUCUGGAUACAAAACCUUCAACCAACCGCCAAACUUUCUUUAAAGGGAGAUGUGUUUGGCACUCUGCUGGGCACAGGGACUACAAAUAGGAGUAAAAAUGCUACCAUCUGUGCUGAUAUCAUCUAUGCUCGCACAUGCAUCGAUCGUCUGGGGAGGGCAACAGCAGUGGGAGAGAGUCUAAGGGGUCACCGCAAACCCCUCCUGCCUUGUGAAUUCGCUCUCAGAAGCACACGUUACCUAUGCAGACAAUAAUUGAGGGGCACCCGGCCGGCUCAGUUGGAA
Callorhinus ursinus (northern fur seal) is the source of this 995-nucleotide non-coding RNA. The record is from RefSeq and is a predicted model, not a curated record. NCBI's taxonomy places the organism in Eukaryota, Metazoa, Chordata, Mammalia, Carnivora, Otariidae.